RNAcentral lists this long non-coding RNA (499 nucleotides) under Homo sapiens (human). RNAcentral describes it as "HSALNT0326736". Lineage: Eukaryota; Metazoa; Chordata; Mammalia; Primates; Hominidae. The record is from RNAcentral.
CUGGGAAAUGCCUGUGUCUUCGCUGUUUUGUUUGUAAAGGGCUGUCUUGAGUCAUCUAACGGUUGGAGUUUUCUCCUGAAGGAGGAAGUAGGCUUUAGACAAAGCGAGGAUUGAUUUGUGUUAUGCUCUUGCUUCAGAAAGGAAUUAGAAAUUAUUUUCUUCUCAGGGAGGAAUGAUUUGGCUCACAGUGAAAUGUACACCACAGAUAAGAAAAAUAGAAGUUAACUGUAAAACAGCCUCAGGCGGGUUCUUCAGGAGGUAUCUAGAAGAGGGCAUUGUUCUCACAGGAGAUGACAGCUCCAUGUGUGUGAUUGCCCCGAGGACCUUCCAGUGGGACAAGAUGUAGAGGUGGAAGACAGGGAUACUGAAGAUUCUGACCUUGUGUAGGCCUAGGCUAAUGUGUGUUUGUGUCUUAGUUUUUAACACAAAGUUUAACAAGUAAAAAAAAAAAAUUUUAAAUCUAAAAAGCUUAUAAAAUAAAUAUACAAAGGAAGAACGU